AUACGUAGGUGGCAAGCGUUGUCCGGAAUUACUGGGUGUAAAGGGAGCGCAGGCGGGGGAGCAAGUCAGCUGUGAAAUGCAUGGGCUUAACCGAUGAACUGCAGUUGAAACUGUUCUUCUUGAGUGCAGUAGAGGUUGGCGGAAUUUCGAGUGUAGCGGUGAAAUGCGUAGAUAUUCGGAGGAACACCGGUGGCGAAGGCGGCCAGCUGGGCUUUUACUGACUCUGAGGCUCGAAAGUGUGGGGAGCGAACAGGAUUAGAUACCCUGGUAGUCCACACUGUAAACGAUGAUUGCUAGGUGUGGGGGGUCUGCCCCCUUCUGUGCCGCAGCUAACGCAAUAAGCAAUCCACCUGGGGAGUACGGCCGCAAGGCUGAAACUCAAAGGAAUUGACGGGG
RNAcentral lists this ribosomal RNA (396 nucleotides) under uncultured bacterium. Its description in RNAcentral is "partial 16S ribosomal RNA". It matches the Rfam family "Bacterial small subunit ribosomal RNA", at positions 523 to 918 of the family's 1533-position model. The record is from RNAcentral.